Cornus florida is the source of this 1505-nucleotide long non-coding RNA. RefSeq lists it as uncharacterized. NCBI's taxonomy places the organism in Eukaryota, Viridiplantae, Streptophyta, Magnoliopsida, Cornales, Cornaceae. The transcript has 6 exons. The record is from RefSeq and is a predicted model, not a curated record.
CUUUCCCAUUUCAUUUUGCAAUAGCCCUAACUCCUUCAGCCGCGCUCUCUCCUUCCAUCACAGCUCUCUCUCCUUCCAUCACCGGUCUCGCCCUUCCAUCACCGGUGGUUUAGAGAGAUAAAGUCAUUGCUACUCCACACACAAAGAGAGAAAGAGUCGUCGUUGGGGGUUUCCAAAACCUCGUUUACACUAACAGAUCGGACGAGAAUUUUUUUAGGACUGUCGGCAGACGACUCUCUUCGCGAAAGCCCUAGCUCCUUGCCCCCAACCACUGGACAUCGCGAAAGCCUUGGAUAGCUCAUUGACUCCUCCUUAAAGCUUUCUGAAGUCUAGACAGAUUAAGGAAAAAGAAGGGGUUCAGCUUUCUCGUGCAGAUUUAUUCAUAGGCACAAAUACAAAUAAGGAUGGUAAUGUUAUUGAUGUUGUUGCUUCAGAGAUGAUUGCUUUAACAUUUACAUCUGAAUCUACAAGCCCUCAAUCUCUUUCUCUCACGCACAACAUCUGCAAUUAAUUAGUCUCUUCAUGUUUGUCAUUCCAUGAGUUAGAGAAAAGGUCAAACUCAAAGAAAGCAAAGAAGAUGAGGACGGUGAAAGGGAUGAGGAUCCUGCUAUUCGCUUGUACAAGGACACACAUUUUAAGGAACAAAGUAGAUGGGCACACGAGAAAGCUAAGAGGAAUUUUGGCAAUAAAGUUAAAAUGAGCUAAGAACGGUUCAUUAAAGUCUUUUUGGAGUCAAGCAAAGACAAUUGGAUAAAGCUUAGAAAAUGUCAAAAAGAGGCCGCAACCCUUUGUUCGUAUAGUGCGCUCAUCCUUCAAAAAUGACCAAUUUUACCUUUUUUCGGGCCUUUGAUGAUGUUCCCAAUUAUCAAGAAGCAAACCGAUUAGCCCGGGGGCUAAAUGGAGUUAAACGGGGCUUAAAAAAGAUUUCUAGCACUAGGAGAUCGAUCCCCUACAAUUGGCAGAAAGGUGUAAAAAAAUACCCCCUGGGGAUCGAUCCCCAAGGCUGGGGGAUCGAUCCCCAAGCCCCUGGCAGCAUUACGGGAUUUAUCUUUUACUUGGCUACCGGAUUUUAUUAUUUGGGCUUAUUUUUUUGUAACUUAUGGGCUUUAAUAGAGUUUGUUACUUAAGGGAAACAAGCCCAUUAUUUUUAGGGUUAGUUUUUCAUUAGUUUGGAGAGAGUUUUGUUUUUAUCAUUAUUAAGUUUUAUUUUCUGUACCAAAGAUAUCACGUUCUCUCUGGGAGAGGAGAAAACUAGGGUUUGAAGAACAUUUGACAGAGGCUCUGUCUACAAUUGAAGGAAGAAGAAGAAGGAGCCAAAAGAUGGAGAUGGAGCUUGUUGACACCAUGUUCAUCUUCUCCAUGAGAUAGUUCUUCACUUAGGGCUUGGAUGAGCCCUAAGUUCAUGUAACCUAAACCUUUGUAUUUCUUUUCUUGGGGAAUUAAGAUGUUGUAAUUAACUGUAUGGCCUUGUGAUUUCUUUAUAUAUACAUGCUUGAUUUGACAAA